CCUACGGGAGGCAGCAGUAGGGAAUCUUCCGCAAUGGACGAAAGUCUGACGGAGCAACGCCGCGUGAACGAUGAAGGCCUUCGGGUCGUAAAGUUCUGUUGUUAGGGAAGAACAAGUGCUAGUUGAAUAAGCUGGCACCUUGACGGUACCUAACCAGAAAGCCACGGCUAACUACGUGCCAGCAGCCGCGGUAAUACGUAGGUGGCAAGCGUUGUCCGGAAUUAUUGGGCGUAAAGCGCGCGCAGGCGGUUUCUAAGUCUGAUGUGAAAGCCCCCGGCUCAACCGGGGAGGUCAUUGGAAACUGGGAAACUUGAGUGCAGAAGAGGAAAGUGGAAUUCCAAGUGUAGCGGUGAAAUGCGUAGAGAUUUGGAGGAACACCAGUGGCGAAGGCGACUUUCNGGUCUGUAACUGACGCUGAGGCGCGAAAGCGUGGGGAGCAAACAGGAUUAGAUACCCUGGUAGUCCACGCUGUAAACGAUGAGUGCUAAGUGUUAGAGGGUUUCCGCCUUUAGUGCUGAGUUAACGNAUUAGCACUCCGCUAGGGGAUACGGUCGCAAGACAGAACGACAANAGAAGUAGUACGACGUGAGACGUCGCGACGGACGACGACGAGGGAGAGG
This 620-nucleotide ribosomal RNA is filed under the name uncultured bacterium. RNAcentral's name for it is "bacterial SSU rRNA". The stretch from base 1 to 540 matches the Rfam family "Bacterial small subunit ribosomal RNA", at positions 338 to 873 of the family's 1533-position model. The record is from RNAcentral.